GUGCAUGUUGCUGGGUCACUACAUCCGAGGUCUGGAAUAUCGGUUAGAGCUGGCACACCUUCUCAGAAUAUCUAGCGACGUGGGGUCUUUCCCCAUUGACGACGAUCAUUUUAUUUGAGAAAGCUUCACUGGCUUCGUGAGAUCCAUCAGUGAAGAGGAUGAAAAUGUGCUCGCCAAGAGGCCGCAGAAGUUGCUGUUUUGGGCAUUUCCUGUCAAGGAAACAGGGAGUUCCAGGUCAUAGCUCCUGUUGUAGUUCUUGUAAAGUCAAAAGGAAGGCAUGGGUGUAAAAUUAGUGUUACAUAUCAAUGUGAACAAUUGGUUUAAUUUUCGUCCUAUUUAUAUUGUGGUAUAAGAAAUAACAUGUUGUUGCUGCUAAUCUCGUAGUAGCAUGGUGGAUACUGGACAGGCAUCCUCUGUACUCGUAGGUUGUAUGUAUUUGUCUAAUGUUUAUCAGAUGAAUGAUACUGUGUUAUAUUUCUGAGUCUUAUCAAGGUUCUUAGAAGUGUGUACCUCCCUGUUAUAUCACAGCUCUCGAUGGAUAGUUCUUGAUGAACUGAACGUAAGUAGUGUACAAUCUGCCUUUAGUAUUAUCUUGUACUCCCUCCGUCCCGAAAUAUCUGUCGCAGCUGGUCAUUUUGCAUAAUCAACCUCACUUUUUUCCGUAAUCAACCUGCAGUCCCGACUCGUCUCUGUCACUCUGCUCUCCACACUCACUCUCCUCACCCCUCUCACCUAUCGCCUUGCCGUCGCCGUCACCGGCUGUCGGGUUCCUCUCAGCUACCGCCUCUCCCCUCACCUCUCCAUCGCCGGUCGACGUCCUCCUCUCAGAUCUCGCCUCUCCCCUUGCCUCUCCACCAGAUCCGCAUCGCCUUGGCRCCGCGGCCUCGGUUCGCCUNNNNNNNNNNNNNNNNNNNNNNNNNNNNNNNNNNNNNNNNNNNNNNNNNNNNNNNNNNNNNNNNNNNNNNNNNNNNNNNNNNNNNNNNNNNNNNNNNNNNGACACCGUCGUCAUCACCAACCAUCCUUCAUCGCCAAUUCCAUGAUGCUCUUCAUCAUUCGUGAGUAAUCUCAUCGUAGGCUUGCUGGACGGUGAUGGGUUGGAUGAGAUCUAUCAUGUAAUCGAGUUAGUUUUGAUGGGGCUUGAUCCCUAGUAUCCACUAUGUUCUAAGAUUGAUGUUGCUACUACUUUGCUAUGCUUAAUGCUUGUCACGAGGGCCCGAGUGCCAUGAUUUCAGAUCUAAACCUAUUAUGUUUUCAUCAAUAUAUGUGUGUUCUUGAUCCUAUCUUGCAAGUUGUAGUCACCUACUAUGUGUUAUGACCCGGCAACCCUGGAGUGACAAUAGCCGGAACCACUCCCGGAAAUGACCAUAGUAUGAGGAGUUCAUGUAUUUACUAUGUGCUAAUGCUUCGUUCCGGUUCUCUACUAAAAGGAGACCUUAAUAUCCCUUAGUUUCCAUUAGGACCCCGCUGCCACGGGAGAGAUGGACAAUAGUUGUCAUGCAAGUUCUUUUCCAUAAGCACGUAUGACUAAAUACGGAAUACAUGCCUACAUUACAUUGACGAACUAGAGCUAGUUACAUAUCACCCUAUGUUAUAGCUGUUACAUGAUGAAUGCCAUCCGACAUAAUUAUCCAUCACCGAUCCAAUGCCUACGAGUCUUUUCCUACUGACCCUUGCUAAGUUACUUUACCGCUAUUGCUGUCACUACUACUACUGUCACUACUGCUACCGUUACUAUCACACUACAUUGCUACUGAAACUUUGCUUCAGAUACUAAGUCUUUCAGGUGUGGUUGAAUUUACAACUCAACUGCUAAUACUUGAGAAUAUUCUUUCGCUUCCCCUUGUGUCGAAUCAACAAAUUUGGGUUGAAUAGUCUACCCUCAAAAACUGUUGCGAUCCCCUAUACUUGUGGGUUAUCAAGACCAUUUUCUGGCGCCGUUGCCGGGGAGGCAUAGCUCUAUUCUGUGAGUCACUUGGGAUUUACGUCUGUUGAUCACAAUGAGGAAUCCGAGAUAUCCAAAAACUAAAGUCUUGCCCUCAACUACGAGGACAAGUAAGGAACUGCCAUCUAGUUAUGCACUUGAUUCACCUUCAGUUAUGAGUAAAUUUGCAACACCACCACCUUUUGGUAGUUCUGAUAUGUCGCCUGUGCUUGAUGAUGCUACUUCUGCUAUCCAUGAUGCUUAUGAUGAUGCUUUGCUUGAUAAUGUAUUUUCCAUUGAGUGCUAUUUCUUGAUGCACAAAUUGCUAGAGUUACUGCUGAAUGUGAUGAUACUUCUAGAAACUGAUAGUAAAUUAUUAGAAGUAGUAACUUGUCUUCGUUACACCUUGUACGACCUACGCUCUCCUAGAUAUGACNNNNNNNNNNNNNNNNNNNNNNNNNNNNNNNNNNNNNNNNNNNNNNNNNNNNNNNNNNNNNNNNNNNNNNNNNNNNNNNNNNNNNNNNNNNNNNNNNNNNGACCGGUUUCGGUUGGUCCCCGACGACCCGGUACGUCGUGGCGUCAGCCGUGGGCGGUGGUCGGGCGUUUUGGUAUGUUAGGCGUUAGGUUGAGUGGUCUGGUAGGGGCCCGACGGCUAGCACCCCUACCACUCAUAUGGAUAGGAGCAGUGGCACUUUUGUCCAAGAUGGUGGAUUCAUGCAUAUUGUUGUAAUACUUUGUAAGAUCCUCAAAAUAAUUAAUAAAAUAGGCCGUAUGCAUCUCCCAGAUGCAGAGGUCGAAGGUCAUCCUCCUUUUCUAAUAAAACAAUCACAAAGGGAAAAUGAGCAUACUACAUGGAAGCAACCACCGCCAUUCUCUUCAUCUGUGAUGGCCUACAUGGCUAGAUCCAUAAGGAGAGGUGUUGGCAAGCACUAAGCCAAAAUCUAAUUUAAUGAUUUAGUGAGACCCUAAUUAUAAUUACAGGUACAUAAGGGAAGGGACCUCACGUGAUUCAACUUGGAAGGUCGCCCAGGAAGAGAAGGAAGGGGUCGGUGGUGAGGAAUUGGGAGGACUUCUUGAAGACUCUACUUCUUUCGCGAAAGAAUGAGAAAUGAGAACUUCCAAAACUUUUUCACGUGAAAACAAUUGCGGUGUGCAAUUUUUUUUUUGUCAAAAGUACAACUGCUAUUGAGCUUAGCCUUACGAUCAGGAUGUGAUGGUGCACAUGGAUGAAGGCAGGCACACCAUCAUCACCAACUCCACACAAUUCACCAUCAUCGCCUUUCGAAGAGUGGUGUCUCCUAAAUUGGUUAGAUGUCACUUAGGAACCUUUAAAUUGUGUGGAGUUGAAUCAAGAAGUUUGUAAGAGCAAGAAGAUCGCCUACUUUGUGAAGAUCUACCCCGAGUGAGGCUAGUCCUUCGUGGACGUAAGCCAUCAUGGAAUAGACAAGGUUGCUUCCUCGUGGACCGUUCGUGGGUGGAUCCCUCCGUGGACUCACGCAACCGUUAUCCUCCGUCGGUUGAAGUCUCCAUUAACGUGGACGUACAGAACCACGCCAAAAAUCUUUGUGUUUUCAUUGCGUUUGAUCUUCCUAGCCCUCAUUUACUUACACUUGCAAUGCCAUUACUUCCACCCCUCUCUAGACAUACUUUUGAUCCUACAACCCUACCCCCAGGGCGCACCAUGCGAGCUCAUGGCUCUCUCGUGGCUCGUCUGGCCUCCUCUCGAUGCUUUUAGGGGUCUCUUUAUGUUCAAAAAUAACCCCCGUAAAGUUUCAUCGUGUUUGGACUCCUUUUGAUAUUGAUUUUCUAGAAAAAUCAAAAAAAAUGAAAGAAAAAAAUAGAAACUGACACUGCGCACUGGGUUAAUAGGUUAGUUCCAAAAAUAAUAUAAAACAAUAUAUAAAUACAUAUAAAGUAUCUAAUAUUGAUAAUAUAAUAGUGUAAAAAUAUAUAUACAUUGGAGACGCACCUGGGCACGGCCGCCGCAGCGUGGGGUAUGUGGUUGCUUGCUACGGGUCGAGUAGGGCUAAAUUAGGCAAAAAAAUAAGGAAAACUCACGUAGCCCAUGUCCCACUUGUCAUAGGUGGUAACGACGAGGCCCACAUGUCAUAGGCAAUAACGCCAGGCCCACGCGCGAGUAACUGAGCACGUAACGGUCAAUUGCGUUGAGCCAGCGACGGGGCUUCGUUUGGGCUUUUGUGAAUGGUGGAGGGAAUAAGUGGGCAAAUUUAGACUUCUUGUUGAAAACUGAGCACAGCUAAGCAACUAAGGGCACCCAAAUAGAAAACCCUAGAUUCUUUGACUAAAAUGCUUAGCAAAACAACCUUUUGUUGACUUAAUUAGUGGUCUCUGGCCUGGAAAUAUUAUCUGUGUCAAUAUACAUAUGACACCAUCCUUUUCUUUAAAACUAACCUAGAUAAAACAAAUAAUCUCAAGCAUGUACUUAUUUGCUUUGAAAAAGUUUAUGGGAUGAAAAAUUACUACAAUACAAGUUAGUUAGUUCCAAUAAGGAUGACGCUAGAAGAGACGUCUCCUUAUUCUGAGAUUUUUUGCUAUCCCACUAGUUUCUUUCCCAUUAGGUAUCUAGGUGUCCCUUUGCAUCAUGAUAAACUUAGAAGGCAAGAUAUCCAACCCCCGAUAGAUAAGAUUCUAGAAAAUAAAUGACAGGAUGGAGUAGAAAAUCUACAUCUACUUAAGGCAGUAUUGUAUUUAUUCAAGUCNNNNNNNNNNNNNNNNNNNNNNNNNNNNNNNNNNNNNNNNNNNNNNNNNNNNNNNNNNNNNNNNNNNNNNNNNNNNNNNNNNNNNNNNNNNNNNNNNNNNAAUUUUAGUUCAUCGAUGGAAGAAAAUUAGAUUGUCAAAUUCAAAGGUUUUUAAGUCUAGCAUCCCUCCUGUUAUAGGCGGGCAGUGUGAGAAAGAGCAAAGAAGGCCUUAAAUAGCAUUGACAAAUGGGUGGGAGGGAGGCACAUUACCUGUUCGAAGAUGAAUCUGGCGGCUCCUUCUCGACCUGACCACGGGCUCCUCUCACCGCGCCGCCCCCUCUCACCUUCUAUCGAUUUCAACAAGCAAAACAGAGAGCUCAGAUCUACAAACAAGCGUAGGGGAUUGGGACUAGAGUAUCGAAUUCACUCACCACCAUGGUUGUCACCGCCGAAAGGGAGCUCCACCUGCCGCCGAGAAAAAGGGCUCCUCCUCCUCCGCCGCCGCCGCCGCCAGAGCUGAAGAAUGGAGUGCGGGCAGUUUGGGACAGUUCAGGUCGGGCGGGUGGAGCGCAGACGGUUUGACGGGAUGCGAUGCUAAUUAUUUUGGGGGGCAAAUUAGUUAGGACAUGUCUUAACGCAAAUUGGACUAGUUGACUAAGGUUUUAACGCCUGUGUGGCCAUGGGCUAUUUACAUGCUUCGAUUCAUCGCAAGAGCUAUUAUGUCGAAAAACAUCACACUCCUUCCAAUUCGAUGGAGAGAAGUCGCAUCUGAGCUAUUAGCCCGCCAACAUCAGGCAUAGGCAGUAGCCAGAGGCACGGGUCCGGGCCAGGACAGGGGAGGGAAGGGUGGCAGAGACAUUCCCCUACCAGGCGCAAUGACCAGCAGGAGCCGACAAACGGUGAGGAGGGGCUAGGGCUGAAGCUAGCCAGGGCGCCAUGCCACAACCUUCCUAGGAGCCGGCACGACGUUGGCCAUUCCUCCGAUAGCAGCGAAGUGAGGGCGGGGUUGGCGAGGUGGCGACACGACACGAUCUAGGGUUCCUCAUCUCCGCCAGGGAGGGCGACACAGGGGACGCAGGAGUCGAGGAACAGUUUUUUAGUUUCUCUAUGGUCUUAAUAUUCGUCAUCUCUGUGUCUCGAUGAGCAUUAUAUAAUGCAACAUGUCGCCCAUGGGUAAACAUAAUGGUAAAUGAAGUCUUACAUAAGUUGAUGUUGGCGCAACACUUUACAUGAUUUGAAGAGAAAAAACAUAUCACUUAAUGGUAUUUUGAAGCAUAGCAGUCUGCAAUAUUGCAAAUGUGACCAGCCAAUACUGAAUAUUUCUUAAACAGUUUGUUAUGUGUAUUAUAGUCCCACAAACAAAAAAUAUGUCACAAUUAACAACUGACCAAAAGAACUAUGAAAGAAUAAAAAUAUAAUUGAAAUAGAACUUGCAUCAAUAAAGGAGUAUACGAGUUCAAACAAGGUUGCAUGUACAUUGAUAAUUGGCACUACAAUAUAGAAGACAAAGCAAUAUCUAGAGAGAUACAUAUUCCAGUUUGAUGACCUGAUAGGAGAGUUUUAGAAGGAAUAAAUACUUUAUGGAACACAUGAAAAGCAGAUGACAAACACAUAAUGGUCGUGUCCCAUUAAGCUAGAUUACAAUGGUAAAAUUAUAUGUCGUGCGUCAGCCUCCUUCCAACAUUGGCUUCCUCGUUGGCGAGGGUGUGCGAGCACCACAUCUGGUAACUCUGAAUUCUGAAAUAUGUGGCAGCACCGCAACAGCUGUGGCACUCGCCAUAAUUCAAGCAUGACUGACACAUCUAGUUCCAUUUACAUAGUCACAUACCUUAAGCAUCUAUCAGGCAAUGGAAUUUUUUGUCAAGCAUAGUAUAACCCUUGUCUUAGUUGUUUGCUCAAAACAUCUGCAACAACAAUAUUAGCUCUAGAACUCUCGCUUCAUCAAUCUUCUCACCUAAAAGGAUAUGAGAUGAUCACUGCUGCAUACAUAACAAUAUGUAGUAUAUUUAGGCAAAUGAUAAACAAUAAGCCUAUGCAGGGUCUAUAGUAUAUUUAGGCAAAAAAGCAUUGAACAAUAUUUGCAAUACAUUUAUUAAGGAGCAAAGAGACAAAAUCUAUCUACAAGCAACACUACACUCAUUAGCACAUAUCAGACCACAAACCAGAAGGAUGUUAUUUAUGCUAAAUGUCGUUUAUCAGUUAGCACUUCCAAGUAGAUCUCAGACAACUACAUAAGUGUGCACAUGUUUGUGAUCACGCACAACUACAUAAGUAUGCAUAUGUUUGUGAUCUUGCAAAACUACAGAAGUAUGCAUAUGUUUGUAAAAGCGAUUGUUUUAGAUUGAAUUCAAUACACAACAAUAUAGUGGAAUGGGAAGUUAAAUUACUUGAUACAGAGUGAGGGACUAAGAACUUAUCUACUUAAUAAUACAACUAAUCAUACAUUAUCAUGCCCCUCUACUCACCGUGCACCAAAUCAUGCCAAGUAAAAAAAUCUGACAAAUGUCACAAUGAAAAAAGGUACGGAUACUGAAUAGAAAAUUUGGUACCAACCCGAGGGGAUGGAGUAUAGUGAAUUUCAUCAAGGAUGAACUACAAGCUUCUGCAACGAAUCAAGUAGAUAGUCUGAAUCUGGAUUUCACUAUGAACUGUGCCAAUCCGACGGAUUUGUUUCUAGACAUUUAAGAAGUCACAUGUUUAGGAGAGACAAAAGUUUUGAAUCGCGCAUGGAUCGGACACACAUCUCUACUACCAAAAAAAAA
This 7382-nucleotide long non-coding RNA is filed under the name Hordeum vulgare. RNAcentral's name for it is "long non-coding RNA (HVUL_LNC008730)". Lineage: Eukaryota; Viridiplantae; Streptophyta; Magnoliopsida; Poales; Poaceae. The record is from RNAcentral.